Molecule: long non-coding RNA, 2212 nt
Filed under: Salvia miltiorrhiza (redroot sage)
Lineage: Eukaryota; Viridiplantae; Streptophyta; Magnoliopsida; Lamiales; Lamiaceae
Description: long non-coding RNA (SMIL_LNC001041)
Source: RNAcentral
GGCUUUCAUCCUUAACAUGACUUAACGAAAUGUAUAUUCGAAAAAAUUAUUUGCCAUCCACUACUAUUUGCCACCCAUAACCGUCACCCGUCAGAUACCCGUCACCCGUCUGGUCUCCGCCACCCACUACCCGUCAGAUACUCGCCACUCACUACCCGGCGGACAUCGUCACCCGUCAGAUACCCGUCACCCGUCUGGUCUCCGCCACCCGCUACCCGUCAGAUACUCGCCACUCACUACCCGUCGGAUGUCCGCCGUGACUUGCGAGGUAGGGGAAUUGCUGCUUCUUGACGUCGACAUUCUACAAUCAACCACCCAACAAAUGCAAUAAAUCAACUACAAUCAUCUCGAUUCCUUCCUUCGUUAUGUCCUUUUGAAUCCACAAUCGAAGUAUCCUGACCACCACAAACUUAUUUCUUGUGUUACCAUUUAUGGCAUUCAAUCGAACUUGCUUGUUUGAUGUUGACAUCUCCUAUGUUUAAGAUAGAAAUAUUAAAAAGACAUAUUAGCUAUCUUAAAAAUAGAACUGAAAAUAAAAUAAUUUUUAGUAACUUAAAAAUAAUUAGUUGAAAAUUAAAUUUAUUCCUAUGUUUAAGAUAGAAAUAUUAAAAAGACAUAGAUAUCUUAAAAAUAGAACUGAAAAUCAAAAUAAUUUUUAGUAACUUAAAAAUAAUUAGUUGAAAAUUAAAUUUAUGUUAUAGUGACAUGUCAAAAAGAUUGGGAAAACAUUAAAAAACAUAGAACAUUAUUAAUCAUGUAUGGUUAAUAAUAAUACCAAAAAAAAUAUCCUAAUUAAUAGUAUCACGAAUUAUUAAUUAUUAGAAGCAAUGAAGAAGAAACAUUUAUGAAAUUUAAAAAUAAGAUGCUCACAUGAUUCCUGAUUGAGCAUUCGAUUCUUGGUUCAUUUUGUAAUGUUGAAGUUUAAAUUCUUGAUUGAGCAUUCGAUUAUUAUUUCCCAUCGCUAAAGUGAUUUCUCUGAAAACUGAGAAAUAAGUAAAAUAUAGAAUCUAUUAUUAUUUUAUUUUAUUUUAUUUGCUAAGAAACUGUAGAUAAAGUUGAAGUUUUAAAUUAAAAAUAUGAAACGACAAUAUAGUAAAUGAAACAAUAGACACACACUGAAGUUUUAAAUUAAAAAUAUGAAACGACAUUAUAGUAAAUGAAACAAUAGACACACACGCUAUGCUACUAUCUCUCUUUCACACACAGACACACACAUUGCGUUUAUGAGUUAAAAAAAAGAAACAGGUAGACUUUAAGCCUGUUCAAGGGGACUGACGGCGGGAUUGCGACAGCAACGGCGAGAAACCGACGCCGGAUGGUAAUGGACAUACAUGAAUACAUGAACUAAUGGAUAUGCAUGAAUACAUCGAAUUUGAACAGUACCAUAAAGUGAGUUAAUAAUCCAACUAUAUCAAAAUCCAAGAGGUUCAGAAAACUAAAACAUUGUAUUAUAUCAUUAUACUCAUUCGAUCAAUUCCAAAAGAAUCUAAUGCAAAUCACUGGAAUACAAUAUCACAUAAAAUUGGAAUACUCUAUCAUGUUUUGUUAUGUCACUACAGAUUAAUAAUCAAACCUCCCUUUUGAAUUCUCACUCACUUGCAAUUGUAGCUGAACGGAAGCCAAAAGUAAUUGAUUUGAGUGCUGCAAUAUGCAGAAAUACAGAGAGAAAAUAGGCUAUAAAUCACAAACGAACCUGUAAGGCAGUUAUUAAAGGAUUUCUACUCUCACCACAUAUAAGAUCACAUUUUUUUACUGGCAAAUGAUUGAAAACAUCAGUUAUUAAAAUACUAUAAAUAAGCAGCUACCACAAACGGACCUGUAAGGCAGAACGCAUAAGCUCGUCAACAUAAUCAAUAGUAGCACAUAAGUUACCAACUCCAGAUCACAAAUCAUAUUCCUCAGAAUCCUUUGGGCAGGCUCAGCAAAUAAAAAUAUAGCUCAGAAAGAUGGAACUGGAACUGGAAAUAGAAAUAGAAUCAUACCGUCAGCAGAUGGUUGAGAGGCACUUUGAAUUCCUUGAUGGCGAAUUUCAGAACUAAAAUAUAGAGAAAGAAAAAGAAUUAAACCAGUAACAAUUACAAUAAAGCUUAAAACUGAUUCUUGACAUAUGUGUAAAGAAUAGAAGAAAAGUAUAACAUUGUGAUAAAAGCAACAAUGCCUGCAAGAUUUCAAACAACAGUGAUAAAAUACCUCAAAGAAUUUCAUUACUUUU